RNAcentral lists this long non-coding RNA (272 nucleotides) under Mytilus galloprovincialis (Mediterranean mussel). Lineage: Eukaryota; Metazoa; Mollusca; Bivalvia; Mytilida; Mytilidae. The record is from RNAcentral.
CAAAUAUAAUGUUUGCUUCAUUAAGAACCACCAUUAAAGCACAAUCAACUAUUAAGUAACAAGGCAAAGAUUUAGUUAUCUAUUUUAUAUGUUUACCAAAACAAAAGCAGGGCAUAUUUUUUAAUUGUUCAAUGCUCUGAUAAUUGUAAUUCUAUAUAAGCUUCCUCCCAAAAUACCAACUUUUUAAAUGAAUAUUAUAAAAAUCUUUACCAGAAUCAAAAUUCUAUCUUGAAGGGUGAAUUGUUGUCAUUAUUUAAGAAAGCAGCUGCAUA